UGCUAAUACCGGAUAACAACAGAUGAUGCCUAUCAACUGUUUAAAAGAAUGGUUCUGCUAUCACUCUUGGAUGGACCUGCGGUGCAUUAGCUAGUUGGUAGGGUAACGGCCUACCAAGGCGAUGAUGCAUAGCCGAGUUGAGAGACUGAUCGGCCACAUUGGGACUGAGACACGGCCCAAACUCCUACGGGAGGCAGCAGC
RNAcentral lists this ribosomal RNA (201 nucleotides) under uncultured Lactobacillus sp. RNAcentral's name for it is "partial 16S ribosomal RNA". It matches the Rfam family "Bacterial small subunit ribosomal RNA", at positions 161 to 355 of the family's 1533-position model. Lineage: Bacteria; Bacillati; Bacillota; Bacilli; Lactobacillales; Lactobacillaceae. The record is from RNAcentral.